GUGUCAGCCGCCGCGGUAAAACGUAGGAGCCAAGCGUUAUCCGAAUUUACUGGGCGUAAAGCGCGUGCAGGCGGUUGGGUAAGUUGGCUGUGAAAUCUCCCGGCUCAACUGGGAGGGGACGGUCAAGACUGCCCGACUGGAGGCAGGUAGAGGGAGGUGGAAUUCCCGGUGUAGUGGUGAAAUGCGUAGAUAUCGGGAGGAACACCCGUGGCGAAGGCGGCCUCCUGGACCUGACCUGACGCUCAGACGCGAAAGCUAGGGGAGCGAACGGGAUUAGAAACCCGCGUAGUCC
This 292-nucleotide ribosomal RNA is filed under the name uncultured bacterium. RNAcentral's name for it is "partial 16S ribosomal RNA". It matches the Rfam family "Bacterial small subunit ribosomal RNA", at positions 505 to 796 of the family's 1533-position model. The record is from RNAcentral.